CAGCCGUAAACAAUGUGCGUUAGGUGUGUCGGUAACCACGUGUUACUGAUGCGCCGAAGAGAAAUCGUGAAACGCACCACCUGGGAAGUACGGUCGCAAGGCUGAAACUUAAAGGAAUUGGCGGGGGAGCACCACAACAGGUGGAGCCUGCGGUUUAAUUGGACUCAACGCCGGGAAGCUCACCGGAUAGGACAGCAGAAUGAUUGCCGGGCUGAAGACCCUGCAUGACUAGCUGAGAGGAGGUGCAUGGCGUAGACGUGU
RNAcentral lists this ribosomal RNA (261 nucleotides) under uncultured archaeon. Its description in RNAcentral is "partial 16S ribosomal RNA". It matches the Rfam family "Archaeal small subunit ribosomal RNA", at positions 748 to 1009 of the family's 1478-position model. The record is from RNAcentral.